RNAcentral lists this ribosomal RNA (236 nucleotides) under uncultured bacterium. RNAcentral describes it as "partial 16S ribosomal RNA". It matches the Rfam family "Bacterial small subunit ribosomal RNA", at positions 103 to 334 of the family's 1533-position model. The record is from RNAcentral.
CGGGUGAGUAACACGUAUGCAAUCCACCUGUAACAGGGGGAGUAACCCGGAGAAAUCCGGACUAAUACCCCAUAAUAUGGGCGCUCCGCAUGGAGAGUCCAUUAAAGAGAGCAAUCUUGGUUACAGACGAGCAUGCGCUCCAUUAGCCAGUUGGCGGGGUAACGGCCCACCAAGGCGACGAUGGAUAGAGGUUCUGAGAGGAAGGUCCCCCACAUUGGAACUGAGACACGGUCCAA